CGAAGCUGACGAGUGCUUGCACUUGAAGCUCACCCGAUUAGUUAGUGGCGGACGGGUGAGUAACGCGUGAGCAACCAACCUUUGCAGUGGGACAACAAUUAGAAAUGAUUGCUAAUACCGCAUAAGACCACACUAUCACAUGGUAGAGUGAGAAAAGCUCCGGCGGCAAGAGACGGGCUCGCGUUCGAUUAGCUAGAUGGUGAGGUAACGGCCCACCAUGGCGACGAUCGAUAGCCGGACUGAGAGGUCGACCGGCCACAUUGGGACUGAGACACGGCCCAGACUCCUACGGGAGGCAGCAGUGGGGAAUAUUGCACAAUGGGGGGAAACCCUGAUGCAGCGACGCCGCGUGGGUGAUGAAGUAUUUCGGUAUGUAAAGCCCUUUUAGCAGGGAAGAUAGUGACGGUACCUGCAGAAACAGCCCCGGCUAACUACGUGCCAGCAGCCGC
RNAcentral lists this ribosomal RNA (449 nucleotides) under uncultured bacterium. RNAcentral describes it as "bacterial SSU rRNA". It matches the Rfam family "Bacterial small subunit ribosomal RNA", at positions 63 to 518 of the family's 1533-position model. The record is from RNAcentral.